GACGAACGCUGGCGGCGUGCUUAACACAUGCAAGUCGAGCGGUAAGGCCCUUUCGGGGGUACACGAGCGGCGAACGGGUGAGUAACACGUGGGUGACCUGCCCUCAGCUCUGGGAUAAGCCUGGGAAACCGGGUCUAAUACCGGAUAUGACUCCAUGACGCAUGUUGUGGGGUGGAAAGCCUUGUGCGGCUGAGGAUGGGCCCGCGGCCUAUCAGCUUGUUGGUGGGGUGAUGGCCUACCAAGGCGACGACGGGUAGCCGGCCUGAGGAGGGCGACCGGCCACACUGGGACUGAGACACGGCCCAGACUCCUACGGGAGGGCAGCAGUGGGGAAUCUUGCGCAAUGGGCGAAAGCCUGACGCAGCGACGCCGCGUGAGGGAUGAC
RNAcentral lists this ribosomal RNA (385 nucleotides) under uncultured bacterium. Its description in RNAcentral is "bacterial SSU rRNA". It matches the Rfam family "Bacterial small subunit ribosomal RNA", at positions 28 to 412 of the family's 1533-position model. The record is from RNAcentral.